GCAGGAUUGGUGUAGUGGCUAUCACGUGUCGUUCACAAGUUUGUGAGCUACAGCUCAGACUCUGAGUCCCGACAAGGUCGCGAGUUCGAUCCUCGCAUCCUGUA
This 104-nucleotide transfer RNA is filed under the name Hapsidospora chrysogenum ATCC 11550. RNAcentral describes it as "Acremonium chrysogenum ATCC 11550 tRNA". It matches the Rfam family "tRNA". Rfam says of the family: Transfer RNA (tRNA) molecules are approximately 80 nucleotides in length. Their secondary structure includes four short double-helical elements and three loops (D, anti-codon, and T loops). Lineage: Eukaryota; Fungi; Ascomycota; Sordariomycetes; Hypocreales; Bionectriaceae. The record is from Rfam by way of RNAcentral.